Molecule: ribosomal RNA, 480 nt
Filed under: uncultured bacterium
Lineage: Bacteria
Description: bacterial SSU rRNA
Rfam family: Bacterial small subunit ribosomal RNA
Source: RNAcentral
CUACGUGCCAGCAGCCGCGGUAAUACGGAAGGUCCAGGCGUUAUCCGGAUUUAUUGGGUUUAAAGGGAGUGUAGGCGGUUUGUUAAGCGUGUUGUGAAAUUUAGGUGCUCAACAUUUAACUUGCAGCGCGAACUGUCAGACUUGAGUACACGCAACGUAUGCGGAAUUCAUGGUGUAGCGGUGAAAUGCUUAGAUAUCAUGAAGAACUCCGAUUGCGAAGGCAGCAUACGGGAGUGUAACUGACGCUUAAGCUCGAAGGUGCGGGUAUCAAACAGGAUUAGAUACCCUGGUAGUCCGCACAGUAAACGAUGGAUGCCCGUUGUUAGUUCACUUAAGAAUUAGCGACCAAGCGAAAGCAUUAAGCAUCCCACCUGGGGAGUACGCCGGCAACGGUGAAACUCAAAGGAAUUGACGGGGGCCCGCACAAGCGGAGGAACAUGUGGUUUAAUUCGAUGAUACGCGAGGAACCUUACCCGGGCU